GCGGGAAUUCCAUUUUCCGGUUGAUCCUCCCGGACCCGACUGCUAUCAGAGUGGGACUAAGCCAUGCGAGUCAACGCCGCAAGGCGUGGCAUACGGCUCACUAACACGUAGUCAACAUGCCCAAAGGACGUGGAUAACCUCGGGAAACUGAGGAUAAACCGCGAUAGGCCAAGGUUUCUGGAAUGGACCAUGGCUGAAAUCUAUAUGGCCUUUGGAUUGGACUGCGGCCGAUCAGGCUGUUGGUGAGGUAAUGGCCCACCAAACCUGUUACCGGUAACGGCUUUGAGAGAAGGAGCCCGGACAUGGGCACUGAAACAAGGGCCCAGGCCCUAUGGGGCGCCACAGGCGC
RNAcentral lists this ribosomal RNA (349 nucleotides) under uncultured archaeon. RNAcentral's name for it is "bacterial SSU rRNA". It matches the Rfam family "Archaeal small subunit ribosomal RNA", at positions 1 to 342 of the family's 1478-position model. The record is from RNAcentral.